GUCGGCGUGGUGUAAUGGUUUGAGCAUUGGACUAGGAUUCUGGAAACCAGGGUUUGAAUCCCAGCUUGGCCA
This is a non-coding RNA of Phrynosoma platyrhinos (Desert horned lizard), 72 nucleotides long. NCBI's taxonomy places the organism in Eukaryota, Metazoa, Chordata, Lepidosauria, Squamata, Phrynosomatidae. The record is from the annotation of a GenBank genome assembly.